Molecule: ribosomal RNA, 253 nt
Filed under: uncultured bacterium
Lineage: Bacteria
Description: partial 16S ribosomal RNA
Rfam family: Bacterial small subunit ribosomal RNA
Source: RNAcentral
UACGUAGGGUGCAAGCGUUGUCCGGAAUUAUUGGGCGUAAAGAGCUCGUAGGCGGUCUGUCGCGUCGGCUGUGAAAACUCGGGGCUCAACUCCGAGCUUGCAGUCGAUACGGGCAGGCUAGAGUUCGGCAGGGGAGACUGGAAUUCCUGGUGUAGCGGUGAAAUGCGUAGAUAUCAGGAGGAACACCGGUGGUGUAAACGGCUUUCUGGACCAUAACUGACGCUGAGGCACGAAAGCGUGGGUAGCAAACAGG